Molecule: long non-coding RNA, 2018 nt
Organism: Lagopus muta (rock ptarmigan)
Lineage: Eukaryota; Metazoa; Chordata; Aves; Galliformes; Phasianidae
Exons: 3
Source: RefSeq, a predicted model, not a curated record
AGAGAGACUUCAAAGAAUUUCCUUUUGUAUACUUCAGUUCACUCUCGUUUCAAAACAAGAAGCUGACUUGUACUGUUGCUGCCUUUAAUGCCUAUUUGUGUAAACAAGUCAGUUUUGUAUGCUAUACUUGGAGGAAAAAAUAUCAUGUUGAAUAACAGUUUGUAUUUACUAUAACAGAAACUCAUAUAGGAUUUUCCCAGAUAUCUAUUCAGCCAACAGAAACUUGUAAUCCUUACAAUCACCCUGGACUGUACUUUUCUUUGCCACUAUUGCCAUGAGUCUGGUCAUACAGCACAGGAUCUGUGGGAGAACUAGGAUACCUGGAUUUAUUCCUCCGUAUUCAUAUGCAGUAGUGUUUGCAUGGAGAUUGUAGCAAGGUAUGCCUCAGACACAUCAAGGGAAUCUGGAGUAAAGGAGGAAACUGGCUCUGGGAGAUGAAGCUGAAUUCCCAUUCAUUGGAACUACCUGCUGGGAUUUAUUGGUCUAAGGGGAGUAAACAGCAAUAUUUGUCUGAGGAACUGCACUUGCAAACUUGUUGAGGGGCUGGGCUCAUCCAUUCCUCUCCAUGGAAGCAUGAGCGUGCUGCAGGAGACGUCUCUCUCAGAAAACUGUGGCUGUGUUGGAACAGAGGUGAUAUGUCACACAGCACCAUCUUUGAGGAAUGAGGUUGGUUGACAAGAUAGGAUCCACACAAUAAAGCAGAGCAAGGUGAUGUUUGCCAACAGGAUGCUCAGCUGAGAGAGGUGAGGUUUAGACACAAAUGUGAGGUACUCCGGCUGUAGUGAGAAGUAGAGGAUUGAGAGAGGUUGAAGCAACAAAAACCUCAAGAAUGACAAAACUGGGUAUAAAGAACCCAAAGAGUUUGCCACAAAUGUUUAUACAGCAAAAAGAAGGAAGAGCCAGAGCUCUACAAGUGGUGUCUGAGAUCUGAUACUGUUCAUAUUACUGAAAUGUGGGAUGUCUUGUGCAAAUGUUUGAUGUAUUAAUAUGAGCUCUUCAGAAACAAAACAAAAAACAGGCAAGGAAGAAAAGAAUGAUACCUAUGUGGCAACAAAAAGAUUGCCUUUGGAACAGAUGACAGUUUGGUUGAGAAUUGAUUGGGAAAACCAAAAGCCUUCUUUAAACAACAUGAGGAAGCUUUUACAUCACAGAUUCUUGUUCCUGGGAGAUUUCAAUGUCCCUAACUUCUGUCGGAAGGACAACAGUGAAGACACAAGCAGUUAUGAAGAUUUCAGGGAUUAAUUAGGGAUAACUUCAAGUACAGUGUGCCAGCCAGGGAUCAGUCAUGGCUGGGUCACAAAUAAUUGCCUGAGAAUGUGGUAGCUUUGGUGGAUAUCAGUCUUAUAGCUUUGGUAAAAAUAAGCCUGAUGAAAACAAGACAAUAUGGCCUUGUUUUUAGUGAAAUGACACUAGUGUUCCAACACUGAAUUUAUUCUGCAACUGAACCUAAAUAUUCUUAAGGUUGUCCAAAGAGACAGUUAACACAGAUACACAGUCUUUACAGGUGUUAGAUUUUUUACUUUCAUAAGUGAGUUUUCAGGAUUAUCCAUGACUUCAGAAGUAGACAACUAUCUGUAUAUUGGCUUGCUUAGGAUUUGUCUGCUGAGUGUGCUGAAUUCCUUAUUUAGAUGAUCUGUAAGCCCAUUAAUGGAUAAUUUAACUCCUAAUGAUCAAGGUCUAGGUAUGAGGUAUGGCUAUUUGACCGCAUUAUGUGGUAAAGACAGUUAAAAACUUUUAGAGAGAAAACCUGAAAAUAAUGCAAGCAAAUCAGAGGGAAAAUAAAAGACAAAGUGAGGAUUUAUUCCUACUUUCAUACAGAAAUAGAUUAAGUAAGUGCUGUCUCCUGCCUGUACUGAAACUCCAGUUAUGUUAUGUGUUCAUCUAGUGGUUGGGAGGGCCACUUUAUUUUUCAAUUUUAAACUUGAUUGUGAAAAUGGACUUGUACUUGAAAGACUGCUGUAGGUAGGAUGUUCCAUUUUAGAAACUGAAACUAUAGCAGACAAUGUGUCAACCUCCUU